AUUUUUAGCUGAAAAGACGUAAAGGCAGUCAGCCCAGUGGUGUUUCUGGAGAGGGAUUCCUUCAGAAAUGGAGAAGACAGAAAGCUGUGGAGGCAGAUAUUUGCAGCAUGUUCGAGUGAGCAUGAUGACCACAAGUGUGUGUCGAACUUUUCAUGACCUGAUGACUGUGUUUCCCAAUCCUGAUCCUGGAGAACCCCAGCACUGCACGGUUUUGGCGUCUCUCUUAUCUGCCUUGGAGUCUUCACUGAUGAGCUGAUGAGUUGAAUCAGGUGUGUUUGAUCAGGGAGACAUCUCAAAUGUGCAGUGUUGGGGUUCUCCAGGACCAGGAUUGGGAGCCACUGCCUUAUGGGACACUUUUGUGUUUAAAGAGAUUUUUAAUAUCUAAUUAUCAAUAUUUCACAUACUGUACUAAACACAUCACAGUCUUAAUAAUCCAGUUUAACACUUGUAUGAUAUUGUACAAGCCCCAGGACGGUCUCAUCUGACACUAUCAAAAGAAUUCAUAUGACUAUAGCUUGUUAUUAAUUACUUGCUUUCAAUAAUGGAUUCAUUUAACAUUUAAUUUUACAGCAUCUUUACAGAGGUGUAAUGUACAAGCUGCACGUAAUUAAUAAUAUGUCCUUCCUUCUGUCUUACAGGAUUUUUUCCAGAUAAUGCUGUUCUUCUUUUUCAGGUCUAAAAUAUCGAGCUCAACAGCUAUUUUAAGAGCCAACCCUCACAAACCUUCCUAAAACCUAAAAGAGCUAUUACUGAGUCUCAGCGAAUCUUGCCAUGAUCAGCUCUUCCCAGAAGAGAAGGAAGACCAAGGAUAUGAUUUGCUCAGGAUGAGGAAUGAAGAUGGCCAUCUUGAGCUCAAACAAACAGAAGUC
Carassius gibelio (silver crucian carp) is the source of this 869-nucleotide long non-coding RNA. RefSeq lists it as uncharacterized. The record is from RefSeq and is a predicted model, not a curated record. The transcript is spliced from 3 exons. Lineage: Eukaryota; Metazoa; Chordata; Actinopteri; Cypriniformes; Cyprinidae.